RNAcentral lists this ribosomal RNA (116 nucleotides) under Vagococcus allomyrinae. Lineage: Bacteria; Bacillati; Bacillota; Bacilli; Lactobacillales; Enterococcaceae. The record is from RNAcentral.
UGUGGUGGCGAUAGCAAGAAGGAUACACCUGUUCCCAUGCCGAACACAGUAGUUAAGCUUCUUAGCGCCGAUGGUAGUUGGGGGGUUCCCCCUGUGAGAGUAGGACGUUGCCACGC